RNAcentral lists this long non-coding RNA (358 nucleotides) under Citrus maxima (pomelo). RNAcentral describes it as "long non-coding RNA (CMAX_LNC003375)". Lineage: Eukaryota; Viridiplantae; Streptophyta; Magnoliopsida; Sapindales; Rutaceae. The record is from RNAcentral.
AUACCUAAAGUCCCAUCCUUAAACUGCUCAAUGCAUCUUUGUUUCAAUUGAUCAGCAUAGAACAAACAGGUCUCAAACUCACCUCUCAGAGCAGCAGUAGUCAUCUUUGUAUAAUCCGAACGAGCAUCCUCGGUCAACCCUUCUACCAAAUACUGCAAACCGAGAGGACUCAUAGCAACCGGGGCGGCACGGGAGACACUAGCCGAAACAGCUUCAAAUAUCAAAAUGGAAUGAUGAGACACAAUAGCACGACCGCUCUCGCUGCAAAGAACAGGAUGCUUAACAUUCUUCCGGUCACAAACAUAGCGAAUUGCUUGAACAACGGCAGAGGCAUAUUCUUCGAGGGUAUAAGCGACUG